Molecule: ribosomal RNA, 253 nt
Filed under: uncultured bacterium
Lineage: Bacteria
Description: partial 16S ribosomal RNA
Rfam family: Bacterial small subunit ribosomal RNA
Source: RNAcentral
GACGAACCGUGCAAACGUUAUUCGGAAUCACUGGGCAUAAAGGGCGCGUAGGCGGCUUCAUAAGUCAGGGGUGAAAUCCGGCAGCUUAACUGUCGCAGUGCCUUUGAUACUGUGGAGCUCGAGGGAGGUAGGGGUCUGUGGAACUUCCGGUGGAACGGUGAAAUGCGUUGAUAUCGGAAGGAACGCCGGUGGCGAAAGCGACUUACUGGACACAUAUUGACGCUGAGGUGCGAAAGCGUGGGGAGCAAACAGG